Molecule: non-coding RNA, 128 nt
Filed under: Pogona vitticeps (central bearded dragon)
Lineage: Eukaryota; Metazoa; Chordata; Lepidosauria; Squamata; Agamidae
Source: RNAcentral
GUGUUGUAUGAAAGGAGAGAAGGUUAGCACUCCCCUUGAUAAGGAUGGAAGAGGCCCUUGUGGUCUGUACAACACGCAUAUGGUUAAGGCAACGCCGCUUACCUCGCGGCAUCUAACCAUGGUUUUUU